RNAcentral lists this ribosomal RNA (505 nucleotides) under uncultured bacterium. RNAcentral describes it as "partial 16S ribosomal RNA". It matches the Rfam family "Bacterial small subunit ribosomal RNA", at positions 355 to 850 of the family's 1533-position model. The record is from RNAcentral.
UAGGGAAUCUUCCACAAUGGACGCAAGUCUGAUGGAGCAACGCCGCGUGAGUGAAGAAGGUUUUCGGACCGUAAAGCUCUGUUGUUGGUGAAGAAGGAUAGAGGUAGUAACUGGCCUUUAUUUGACGGUAAUCAACCAGAAAGUCACGGCUAACUACGUGCCAGCAGCCGCGGUAAUACGUAGGUGGCAAGCGUUGUCCGGAUUUAUUGGGCGUAAAGCGAGCGCAGGCGGAAGAAUAAGUCUGAUGUGAAAGCCCUCGGCUUAACCGAGGAAUUGCAUCGGAAACUGUUUUUCUUGAGUGCAGAAGAGGAGAGUAGAACUCCAUGUGUAGCGGUGGAAUGCGUAGAUAUAUGGAAGAAUACCAGUGGCGAAGGCGGCUCUCUGGUCUGCAACUGACGCUGAGGCUCGAAAGCAUGGGUAGCGAACAGGAUUAGAUACCCUGGUAGUCCAUGCCGUAAAACGAUGAGUGCUAAGUGUUGGGAGGCUUCCGCCUCUCAGUGCUGCA